This 471-nucleotide long non-coding RNA is filed under the name Mytilus galloprovincialis (Mediterranean mussel). The record is from RNAcentral. Lineage: Eukaryota; Metazoa; Mollusca; Bivalvia; Mytilida; Mytilidae.
CUCCUAUACUAUGUAUGUGUUGAAAUUAACACAAUCGGACUGCAUUUUUUUUUAGCUUUCAUUUGAUAUAUAGUUUGACAUGUCACCUUAAAAAUUUCAAAAAUGUCUGACACGCCUAUUAAUAGAUGAAGAUAUCAUUAUACGAGAUGUUAAACACAAGGAAUUAUAUAUUACUGGUGUGAACAAAAACUAGAGGCUCUCCAGAGUCUGUGUCGCUCACCUUAUUCUACUUGGGAUUUUGAAAUAAUAUUAAACUAGAGGCUCUAAAGAGCCUGUGUCGCUCACCUUGGUAUAUGUGAAUAUUAAACAAAGGAAGCAGAUGGAUUCAUGACAAAAUUGUGUUUAGGUGAUGGUGAUGUGUUUGUACAUCUUACUUUACUGAACAUUCUUGCUCCUUACAAUUAUCUCUAUCUAUAAUGAUCUUGGCCCAGUAGUUUCAGUGGAAAAUGUUAGUAAAAAUUUACAAAUUUU